GACGAACGCUGGCGGCGUGCUUAACACAUGCAAGUCGAACGGAAAGGCCCUGCUUUUGUGGGGUGCUCGAGUGGCGAACGGGUGAGUAACACGUGAGUAACCUGCCCUUGACUUUGGGAUAACUUCAGGAAACUGGGGCUAAUACCGGAUAGGAGCUCCUGCUGCAUGGUGGGGGUUGGAAAGUUUCGGCGGUUGGGGAUGGACUCGCGGCUUAUCAGCUUGUUGGUGGGGUAGUGGCUUACCAAGGCUUUGACGGGUAGCCGGCCUGAGAGGGUGACCGGCCACAUUGGGACUGAGAUACGGCCCAGACUCCUACGGGAGGCAGCAGUGGGGAAUAGUGCACAAUGGGCGGAAGCCUUAUGCAGCAACGCCGCGUGCGGGAUGACGGCCUUCGGGUUGUAAACCGCUUUCGCCUGUGACGAAGCGUGAGUGACGGUAAUGGGUAAAGAAGCACCGGCUAACUACGUG
This 468-nucleotide ribosomal RNA is filed under the name uncultured bacterium. Its description in RNAcentral is "partial 16S ribosomal RNA". It matches the Rfam family "Bacterial small subunit ribosomal RNA", at positions 28 to 507 of the family's 1533-position model. The record is from RNAcentral.